AGUGUGAUCAUUUGGUCUUCAUGAUUAACUCAUAAAAAUCAUACGGCCCAGGCAUGUAUAAAUGUUGUCAGGACAGUAAAAUUUUAAUGAAAAAGGACUCACAAGUCACAAACCAUAGGCCCUAAAUGAUUUAAAUUUAAAGGAAUUUAAAAGUUUAUGACGGGUUUUUCCAAUUUUCAGGCAGUCAAGUGUUUCAUGAAGACUGUAUUUGUUCAGGGAAUGGGAUACAGCAAGUUCCCAAGUUCUUAGUUAAUGAACAGAGAAAAUUGUUGAGGAGCUCAUUGGGGGAAAAAAACAAAUUAACAAAGGAAAUGUACUUUUUCAAUAAGGAGAAGAAGUAAAAGCAGCAGGGAAAAUUGACAGAGUGAUACAUCUUCUAUGAAUAAAAAGAGGAAAUAAGUGUCUGCAGCAGUAAAUCAUUAUAACAACAAGACUGUGAAAAGAAGAUAUCAGAACAUGAAAUGAGUUUUAUUUCUUUUAAAAAGAAUUGUUACAGAAUAUAUCUCUUGUGAUCCUAAUGAAAACCAUUGUCAACUUGAAGUAAAGGAAGAUUUUAUAAUUUAAUAGAACAGGAAAUAAAGGAAGACUCAUUUAGAGCAUAACAAAGCACAAUGUAUAUUUCUAAUUAGUCUGUUAAUUCAGAAUAACCCAUGUGAAGGAAUUAUAUUUUACAGUAAACAACAUACAAAACACUUACAAUUUCAUGUUUUGCAAUUGGUGAAUUUUCAUGUUGUACUAAGGUAAAAUUUAUAUGACAGAUGCAUUACCUUAAAUAUUCACUGAACACAUGAAAAUCCAACAUAGCCAUUGCAAAAAUAACUUGCACUUACGUGUACAUAUGUUAUUCAUGUGAUAUUAAUAUGAAAAUCACAUCACGAUUAUGUGAAAAUAUAGACGUGAAAUAACAAAACUUUUACACGUUAAAAUAAUGUGAAAAAAUCUAAAUGUGAAAUUAACACAAUAUUUACACGUUAAAAUCACGUUUAUAAAUUUACGUGUGAAAUUAACACAAUAUUUACACGUUAAUAUCACGUUAAAAAAUUUACAUGUGAAAAUAACGUUACGUUUAAACAUGAAUAUCACGUGAGCAGAUUAAAACGUGAUUAUCACGUGAGAAUCUUGUGUGUGUCAAAUACAGGUGAUAUAAACGUUUAAACGGAGUGAUACACACGUGGAAAUAACGUAGUUUUCACGUAAUGAGCACAAACGUUAAACACACGUUGGAAAAAAUUGCCU
This is a long non-coding RNA of Mytilus californianus (California mussel), 1236 nucleotides long. RefSeq lists it as uncharacterized. The transcript has 3 exons. The record is from RefSeq and is a predicted model, not a curated record. Lineage: Eukaryota; Metazoa; Mollusca; Bivalvia; Mytilida; Mytilidae.